This 637-nucleotide ribosomal RNA is filed under the name uncultured marine eukaryote. RNAcentral describes it as "SSU rRNA". It matches the Rfam family "Eukaryotic small subunit ribosomal RNA", at positions 617 to 1258 of the family's 1831-position model. The record is from RNAcentral.
GGUUAAAAAGCUCGUAGUUGGAUUUCUGUCGGAGACGGUCGGUCCGCUCUAUGAGCGUGUAUCUGAUUCGGCUUUGGCAUCCUCGUGGGGAACGUAACUGUGCUUGAUUGCAUGGUGCGGAAUUCACGACUUUUACUUUGAGGAAAUUAGAGUGUUCACGGCAGGCAAGCGCCUUGAAUACAUUAGCAUGGAAUAAUAAUAUAGGACUUGUGUUCUAUUUUGUUGGUUUCUAGGACAUAAGUAAUGAUUAAUAGGGAUAAUUGGGGGCAUUUGUAUUAACGCGUCAGAGGUGGAAUUCUUGGAUUGCGUUACGACAAACUACUGCGAAAGCAUUUGCCAAGGAUGUUUUCAUUGAUCAAGAACGAAAGUAUGGGGAUCGAAGAUGAUUAGAUACCGUCGUAGUCUAUACCAUAAACUAUGCCGACUAGAGAUUGGAGGUCGUUCUCUCCAUGACUCCUUCAGCACCUUAUGAGAAAUCAAAGUCUUUGGGUUCCGGGGGGAGUAUGGUCGCAAGGCUGAAACUUAAAGGAAUUGACGGAAGGGCACCACCAGGAGUGGAGCCUGCGGCUUAAUUUGACUCAACACGGGAAAACUCACCGGGUCCAGACAUAGUAAGGAUUGACAGAUUGAUAGCUCU